ACGGAGGAUCCAAGCGUUAUCCGGAAUCAUUGGGUUUAAAGGGUCCGUAGGUGGACAAAUAAGUCAGAGGUGAAAUCCUGCAGCUCAACUGUAGAACUGCCUUUGAUACUGUUUGUCUUGAGUUAUUAUGAAGUGGUUAGAAUGUGUAGUGUAGCGGUGAAAUGCAUAGAUAUUACACAGAAUACCGAUUGCGAAGGCAGAUCACUAAUAAUUAACUGACACUGAGGGACGAAAGCGUGGGUAGCGAACAGG
RNAcentral lists this ribosomal RNA (252 nucleotides) under uncultured bacterium. Its description in RNAcentral is "partial 16S ribosomal RNA". It matches the Rfam family "Bacterial small subunit ribosomal RNA", at positions 525 to 776 of the family's 1533-position model. The record is from RNAcentral.